AAUGUUUUGCUAGAGACCGCUUA
This 23-nucleotide non-coding RNA is filed under the name Arabidopsis thaliana (thale cress). The record is from RNAcentral. Lineage: Eukaryota; Viridiplantae; Streptophyta; Magnoliopsida; Brassicales; Brassicaceae.